GAGGGCAUAGCUCAGUGGUAGAGCACGUGCUUAGCAUGCAUGAGGUGCUGGGUUCAAUCCCCAGUACCUCCA
Molecule: transfer RNA, 72 nt
Filed under: Camelus bactrianus (Bactrian camel)
Lineage: Eukaryota; Metazoa; Chordata; Mammalia; Artiodactyla; Camelidae
Also listed under: 2 other names
Rfam family: tRNA
About the family: Transfer RNA (tRNA) molecules are approximately 80 nucleotides in length. Their secondary structure includes four short double-helical elements and three loops (D, anti-codon, and T loops).
Source: Rfam by way of RNAcentral